AUAACUCGAGCUUGAGUUAGGAAACUUGCCUCGAUUGUAGGUUACGGCUACGAAAUUAAAUUUCUAUCCACUAUGCAGUUAAAUUAUCUUCCUUUGAGAGACCUAUAAUUAAUCUUUCAAUUAGUCAAAGCAUAACAUUAGAUUAUGUAAUCACAUAGAUAUUAUACAUUACAUUUAGUUCUUAUAAACAUUAUCCUGUCUAGAUAGUGUUACUAUUAAUUAACGACUACCUUUAAUUCACAUAAUAUUAUUAACUUAGAUAAUAUUUA
RNAcentral lists this long non-coding RNA (269 nucleotides) under Panax ginseng (ginseng). Its description in RNAcentral is "long non-coding RNA (PGIN_LNC012410)". The record is from RNAcentral. Lineage: Eukaryota; Viridiplantae; Streptophyta; Magnoliopsida; Apiales; Araliaceae.